This 459-nucleotide ribosomal RNA is filed under the name uncultured bacterium. Its description in RNAcentral is "partial 16S ribosomal RNA". It matches the Rfam family "Bacterial small subunit ribosomal RNA", at positions 338 to 795 of the family's 1533-position model. The record is from RNAcentral.
CCUACGGGUGGCAGCAGUGAGGAAUAUUGGUCAAUGGCCGAGAGGCUGAACCAGCCAAGUCGCGUGAGGGAAGACGGCCCUACGGGUUGUAAACCUCUUUUGUCGGGGAGCAAAGCGAGUCACGUGUGACUCAUUGAGAGUACCCGAAGAAAAAGCAUCGGCUAACUCCGUGCAAGCAGCCGCGGUAAUACGGAGGAUGCGAGCGUUAUCCGGAUUUAUUGGGUUUAAAGGGUGCGCAGGCGGAGGUGCAAGUCAGCGGUCAAAUUGCGGGGCUCAACCCCGUACAGCCGUUGAAACUGCAGCCCUUGAGUGCGCGAGAAGUAUGCGGAAUGCGUGGUGUAGCGGUGAAAUGCAUAGAUAUCACGCAGAACUCCGAUUGCGAAGGCAGCAUACCGGCGCGCAACUGACGCUCAUGCACGAAAGCGUGGGUAUCGAACAGGAUUAGAUACCCCAGUAGUC